UACGUAGGGUGCAAGCGUUGUCCGGAAUUAUUGGGCGUAAAGAGCUCGUAGGCGGUUUGUCGCGUCGAAUGUGAAAACCCGAGGCUUAACCUCGGGCCUGCAUUCGAUACGGGCUGACUAGAGUUCGGUAGGGGAGACUGGAAUUCCUGGUGUAGCGGUGAAAUGCGCAGAUAUCAGGAGGAACACCGGUGGCGAAGGCGGGUCUCUGGGCCGAUACUGACGCUGAGGAGCGAAAGCGUGGGGAGCGAACAGG
RNAcentral lists this ribosomal RNA (253 nucleotides) under uncultured bacterium. RNAcentral's name for it is "partial 16S ribosomal RNA". It matches the Rfam family "Bacterial small subunit ribosomal RNA", at positions 524 to 776 of the family's 1533-position model. The record is from RNAcentral.